CUGGGCUCGAACGGCUGGUCAACGGAGGUGGAAACAUCUUUACCCCGCAAGGGGGUCCAGUCGAGGUGCUGCAUGGCUGUCGUCAGCUCGUGUCGUGAGAUGUUGGGUUAAGUCCCGCAACGAGCGCAACCCUUGUCCUGUGUUGCCAUCAUUCAGCUGGGAACUCGCAGGAGACCGCCAGCGAUAAGCUGGAGGAAGGUGGGGAUGACGUCAAGUCCUCAUGGCCUUUAUGUCCAGGGCUACACACGUGCUACAAUGGGCGGUACAAAGCGCCGCGAACCCGCGAGGGGGAGCCAAUCGCAAAAAACCGCUCUCAGUUCGGAUUGCAGGCUGCAACUCGCCUGCAUGAAGCUGGAAUCGCUAGUAAUGGCAGAUCAGCACGCUGCCGUGAAUA
This 394-nucleotide ribosomal RNA is filed under the name uncultured bacterium. RNAcentral's name for it is "bacterial SSU rRNA". It matches the Rfam family "Bacterial small subunit ribosomal RNA", at positions 975 to 1368 of the family's 1533-position model. The record is from RNAcentral.